This 25-nucleotide non-coding RNA is filed under the name Rattus norvegicus (Norway rat). Lineage: Eukaryota; Metazoa; Chordata; Mammalia; Rodentia; Muridae. The record is from RNAcentral.
UGGUAACCAAGGAGCAUCUCAGGCC